GAUUCAGCGGCGGACGGGUGAGUAAUGCCUAGGAAUCUGCCUGGUAGUGGGGGAUAACGUUCCGAAAGGAACGCUAAUACCGCAUACGUCCUACGGGAGAAAGCAGGGGACCUUCGGGCCUUGCGCUAUCAGAUGAGCCUAGGUCGGAUUAGCUAGUUGGUGGGGUAAUGGCUCACCAAGGCGACGAUCCGUAACUGGUCUGAGAGGAUGAUCAGUCACACUGGAACUGAGACACGGUCCAGACUCCUACGGGAGGCAGCAGUGGGGAAUAUUGGACAAUGGGCGAAAGCCUGAUCCAGCCAUGCCGCGUGUGUGAAGAAGGUCUUCGGAUUGUAAAGCACUUUAAGUUGGGAGGAAGGGCAGUAAGUUAAUACCUUGCUGUUUUGACGUUACCAACAGAAUAAGCACCGGCUAACUUCGUGCCAGCAGCCGCGGUAAUACGAAGGGUGCAAGCGUUAAUCGGAAUUACUGGGCGUAAAGCGCGCGUAGGUGGUUCAGCAAGUUGGAUGUGAAAGCCCCGGGCUCAACCUGGGAACUGCAUCCAAAAGCUGGCGAGCUAGAGUACGGUAGAGGGUGGUGGAAUUUCCUGUGUAGCGGUGAAAUGCGUAGAUAUAGGAAGGAACACCAGUGGCGAAGGCGACCACCUGGACUGAUACUGACACUGAGGUGCGAAAGCGUGGGGAGCAAACAGGAUUAGAUACCCCCUGGUAGUCCACGCCGUAAACGAUGUCGACUAGCCGUUGGGAUCCUUGAGAUCUUAGUGGC
This 765-nucleotide ribosomal RNA is filed under the name Pseudomonas nitroreducens. RNAcentral's name for it is "bacterial SSU rRNA". It matches the Rfam family "Bacterial small subunit ribosomal RNA", at positions 89 to 847 of the family's 1533-position model. The record is from RNAcentral. Lineage: Bacteria; Pseudomonadati; Pseudomonadota; Gammaproteobacteria; Pseudomonadales; Pseudomonadaceae.